UUUCCGUAGGUGAACCUGCGGAAGGAUCAUUACAGAGUUCAUGCCCUCACGGGUAGAUCUCCCACCCUUGAAUAUUUAUACCUUAGUUGCUUUGGCAGGCCGUGGAAACACCCUGGGCUCCGGCUUAUGCGUGCCUGCCAGAGGAAACAAACUCUGUUUUUAGUGAUGUCUGAGUACUAUAUAAUAGUUAAAACUUUCAACAACGGAUCUCUUGGUUCUG
This 220-nucleotide unclassified non-coding RNA is filed under the name plant metagenome. RNAcentral describes it as "partial contains small subunit ribosomal RNA, internal transcribed spacer 1, and 5.8S ribosomal RNA". The record is from RNAcentral.